Suricata suricatta (meerkat) is the source of this 415-nucleotide long non-coding RNA. RefSeq lists it as uncharacterized. NCBI's taxonomy places the organism in Eukaryota, Metazoa, Chordata, Mammalia, Carnivora, Herpestidae. The record is from RefSeq and is a predicted model, not a curated record. The transcript has 2 exons.
GUCGCACUUAAAAGGGGCUCGGCCUGGACCCGCGAGCAGCUUUCCGCUUUCCGCCUUCCGCGUCGCGGGCGCUCUGCUCCUUAAAGAUCGAAACGUGCUCCCGAAACGUACGGAGCUACUUUUGGGGCAAGUGCUUUUCGUGGGCGAUCCUGUGUGCUGCACUGCCCCCCCCCCCCCUCCACCAAAAUGGCUCCGUCCCCUCCGAGGCCUUUCUCUCCCCCGGGUCAGCCCUCCACACCGUGUGCCCGACAAGUUCUGAGGUCAAGCUUCAGAGUUCUGCCUGGAUCCAGAGCCUGCUCGGGGCUCGCUCUCAUAAAACAGAUGUGUCCCGGGGGGUCUCUCUGAGCCGAUCUUACGUGGAGCUUACUGAGUGGUUUCAGGUUUCUCAACAAGUUUACCACACAAACCCUUCUAA